GGUCGGGAUGCCUCCAUAUUUUGGGACGAAGUACCUACGUGGACUCCCUGAAGAUGUUCGUGAGUCCGCGACCCGUUCUCCAUCGACCAACGAGCUCGGCUCGUUCUCCAUCGGCCAACGAGCUCGGCUCGUUCUCCUACCCCGACCACGGCCGGGAUGCCUCGAGACGUCGAGAUGCCCCGAUACGUUGGGAUGCCCCAAUACGUUGGGAUGCGGUCUUCACCGGCCAACGAGCUCGGCUCGUUCUCCAUCGA
Molecule: long non-coding RNA, 254 nt
Filed under: Phoenix dactylifera (date palm)
Lineage: Eukaryota; Viridiplantae; Streptophyta; Magnoliopsida; Arecales; Arecaceae
Description: long non-coding RNA (PDAC_LNC017982)
Source: RNAcentral